This 3857-nucleotide ribosomal RNA is filed under the name Chloroflexota bacterium. RNAcentral describes it as "Chloroflexi bacterium (bioreactor metagenome) 23S ribosomal RNA". It matches the Rfam family "Bacterial large subunit ribosomal RNA". Lineage: Bacteria; Bacillati; Chloroflexota. The record is from RNAcentral.
GGAGAAGCUACUAAGGGCUUAUGGUGAAUGCCUUGGCGCCAAGUGCCGACGAAGGACGUGGGACACUGCGAUAAGCCUCGGGAAGCCGUGUACAGGCGUUGAUCCGGGGAUCUCCGAAUAGGGAAACCAACUGUUGCGAACCAACGGUGUCCUCUUGUUGAACACAUAGACUUGAGGACGGGAACCUGGGGAACUGAAACAUCUAAGUACCCAGAGGAAAAGAAAAUAUUCCCCCAGUAGUGGCGAGCGAACGGGGAAGAGCCCAAACCGUCUCUGCUUGCAGAGGCGGGGUUGUAGGACCGGCACAUGGAAGUUAUAAAACAAUCAGUUAGCGGAAAGGUGUGGGAAAGCCUGCCAAAGAGGGUAACAGCCCCGUAUGCGAAAACUGGUUGUCUUCCGCCGUGUUCCUGAGUACUGCCGGGCACGCUAAUCCGGCAGGAAUCUAGGGAGUCCACUCUCUAAGGCUAAAUACACUUGGCGACCGAUAGUGAACUAGUACCGUGAGGGAAAGGUGAAAAGUCCCCCCGUUAGGGGAGUGAAAUAGAACCUGAAACCAUAAGCUUACAAGCAGUUGGAGGGCUAACGGCAGGUUGAGCGCUGUAGAAAUACAGAUGUUCCCUGCUAUGCCUGACAGCGUGCCUCUUGGAGAAUGAGCCUGCGAGUUAAUCUCAGUGGCGAGGUUAAGGGAGUGACACCCGAAGCCGUAGCGAAAGCGAGUCUGAAUAGGGCGUAUAGUCGCUGGGAUUAGGCCCGAAACCGGGUGAGCUACCCAUGGGCAGGGUGAAGCGAGUCUAAUCACUCGUGGAGGCCCGAACCCACUAACGUUGCAAAGUUAGGGGAUGACCUGUGGGUAGAGGUGAUAUGCCAAACGAACUCGGAGAUAGCUGGUUCUCCCCGAAAUAGCUUUAGGGCUAGCGUCAUGCGUUUAGUACUGGAGGUACAGCACUGAAUGGGCUAAGGGGCUUACAGCUUACUGAACCCAAUCAAACUCGGAAUGCCAGUACUCCAUAGCAUGGCAGUCGGACUCCGGGAGAUGAGUUUCGGGGUCGAAAGGGAAACAGCCCAGAUCAUCGGCUAAGGUCCUUAAAUCUAUGCUAAGUGGUGAACGAGGUGAGGUUACUUGAACAACCAGGAGGUUGGCUUAGAAGCAGCCACCCUUUAAAAAGUGCGUAACAGCUUACUGGUCUAGUGACUUUGCGCGGAAAACUUAACGGGGCUAAGCAUAGUACCGAAGCCAUGAGUCUCAGCAUUUGCUGGGGCAGUAGGGGAGCGUUCUGUCAGCGGUGAAGGCCGAUCGUAAGGGCGGCUGGAGCGGACAGAAGUGAGAAUGCAGGCAUGAGUAGCGUACAAACACGUGAGAACCGUGUUCGCCGUAAAUCUAAGGUUUCCGACGCCAGGUCAUUCCGCGUCGGGUUAGUCGAGUCCUUAGCCGAGGCCGAGAGGCGUAGGCGAUGGAUAUCCGGUCAACAUUCCGGAACCGCUAGAAAGUGCGAUGGGAGGACGCAACGAGGUAGGCCAGCCCAUUAUUGGAUUUGGGUGCGAUCCAUCUAGGCGUUGAGACCGGCAGGGAAAUCCGCUGGUUGAGCCGAGGUGGGAGCGAGUCGUAAGACGAAGUGGUUGAGCCUUGUUGCCGAGAAAAGUCUCUAAGCAUAACUUUCCAGCGCUCGUACCGCAAACCGACACUGGUAGAUGGGUAGAAUAUACCAAGGCGAACGGGAGAACCCUCGUUAAGGAAUUAGGCAACAUGACCCCGUAACUUCGGGAGAAGGGGUACCCCCUGGGGUGUCAAAGCCCCGGAGGGUCGCAGUGAAAUGGCUCUGGUGACUGGUUAACAAAACCACAGGUCUCUGCUAAGCCGUAAGGCGAUGUAUAGGGGCUGACGCGUGCCCAGUGCCGGAAGGUUAAGGAGAGAGGUUAGCGCAAGCGAAGCUUUGAACCGAAGCCCCGGUGAACGGCGGCCGUAACUAUAACGGUCCUAAGGUUAACAUUUUGCUAGCCUUAGUAAAAUCGAACCAUAUGCGGGAAAGUCCUCAACAGCCAGGUGGUACUCGCCGUGGAAAGAACAUACGGCAGUAAAAAUCCACUGGACACGGGGAUAAUCCGCAGGGAAGGCUUCCAUGAUAGACGAUGAAAUGUUGGAAGAACCCUCAGAGACUUCACGUUCGAUCUCGAACUCUUCGAGAUUGGAAGCGCAAUGGGUUGCAGGGUUUGUAGAUGGAGAAGGUUGUUUUUAUGUCGGCAUCAAUCCCCAGCCGGAAAUGAAAACGGGGUAUCAGGUUUUACCUGAGUUCACAGUAGUACAGCAUGAGAGAGAUAUACAACUGCUGUACGCCCUGAAACAAUUCUUUGGCUGUGGCGUGGUGCGACAGAAUCACGGUGACCGAAUGGCUUACCGUGUGCGAGGUGUUGAACACCUUGCGGAACGGAUCAUUCCGUUCUUUGAAAAACAUCCUUUGAAAUCGAAAAAACAUCUCGACUUUUUAAAGUUUAGAAAAGUCCUGAUGAUGAUGCAAAGAAAUGAGCAUCUGACCCCUGAAGGGAUCGAGAAGAUCCGCCAAAUCGCUUCUGAAAUGAAUAGAGGACGAGAAAGAUAAAGUCCGGCUUCUCUGGAAACAGAGUGAGAUAAUCCGAGCGAAAUUCCUUGUCGGGUAAGUAACAUUGCCCAUGCUGGCUAAUAACGGUGAAACCCAAUCUCGUUGCGACGUACAAGGCGUCGUGCAAAAGAGAGGGUAAUACCGUGGGAAGUCAUUCUGAGUGUAAAACGAAGGAUUGACCCCGUAACGACUGAUCCCUGAAAAGGGUGAGAUAGCGAUUUCUGCGAAAGCAAAUUUACAUCGUUAUCAUACGCCGGCGGUUUCCGAAAGGAAAUCAAGAUAUAGUCUGCGCUCGCAGGAAUGCGAGAAUAUAGCGAAGUUCCGACCCGCACGAACCGCGUAACAAUUAGAGCACUGUCUCGACGAGGGACCCGGUGAAAUUGAAAUGGCUGUGAAGAUGCGGCCUACCCGCAGCAGGACAAAAAGACCCCGUGGAGCUUUACUGCAACUUGGCAUUGUAUUUGGACAUGAUCUGUGUAGGAUAGGUGGGAGGCUUUGAAGCUGGCGCGCUAGCGUCGGUGGAGCCAUCAGUGAAAUACCACCCUGAUUAUGUUUAGAUCCUAACCCCAUUCCGUCAACCGGAUGGGGGACCGUGCCAGGUGGGCAGUUUGACUGGGGCGGUCGCCUCCCAAAAGGUAACGGAGGCGCCCAAAGGUUCCCUCAGGUGGAAUGGAAACCCACCACAGAGUGUAAAGGCAUAAGGGAGCUUGACUGUAAGGCCAACGCGCCGAACAGAGUCGAAAGACGGGCUUAGUGAUCCCACGGUACCGAGUGGAAGGGCCGUGGCUUACCGGAUAAAAGCUACCCCGGGGAUAACAGGCUGGUGAGAUCCAAGAGUUCACAUCGACGAUCUCGCUCGGCACCUCGAUGUCGGCUCAUCGCAUCCUGGGGCUGGACAAGGUCCCAAGGGUCGGGCUGUUCGCCCGUUAAAGCGGUACGCGAGCUGGGUUCAGACCGUCGUGAGACAGGUCGGUCUCUAUCCGCUGUGGGCGUAAGGGAUUUGAAGGGAGCUGCUCCUAGUACGAGAGGACCGGAGUGGACAGACCUCUAGUGUGCCAGUUGUUCCGCCAGGAGCAUCGCUGGGUAGCCAUGUCUGGCAGAGAUAACCGCUGAAAGCAUCUAAGUGGGAAACUCGCCCUAAGAUUAGAUCCCUGUAUUCCCGUAAGGGAGUAAGACCCCAGGUAGACUACCUGGUAUAUAGGCAGUGUGUGUAAGCACAGUAAUGUGUUCAGCUAAACUGUACUAAUGGUCGAGGGCUUCCUC